Molecule: ribosomal RNA, 497 nt
Filed under: uncultured bacterium
Lineage: Bacteria
Description: partial 16S ribosomal RNA
Rfam family: Bacterial small subunit ribosomal RNA
Source: RNAcentral
GAUGAACGCUGGCGGCGUGCCUAAUACAUGCAAGUCGAGCGAACAGACGAGGAGCUUGCUCCUUUGACGUUAGCGGCGGACGGGUGAGUAACACGUGGAUAACCUACUUAUAAGUCUGGGAUAACUUCGGGAAACCGGAGCUAAUACCGGAUAAUAUAUUGAACCGCAUGGUUCAAUAGUGAAAGACGGCUUUGCUGUCACUUAUAGAUGGUUCCGCGCCGCAUUAGCUAGUUGGUACGGUAACGGCUUACCAAGGCUACGAUGCGUAGCCGACCUGAGAGGGUGGUCGGCCACACUGGAACUGAGACACGGUCCAUACUCCUGCGGGAGGCAGCAGUAGGGAAUGUUCCGCAAUGGGCGAAAGCCUUACGGAGCAACGCCGCGUGAGUGAUGAAGGUCUUCGGUUCGGAAAGCUCUGUUAUUAGGGAAGAACAGAUGUGGAAGGAACUAUGGACGUCUUGACGGUACCUAAUCAGAAAGCAACGGCUAACUACGUG